Molecule: long non-coding RNA, 284 nt
Filed under: Trifolium pratense (red clover)
Lineage: Eukaryota; Viridiplantae; Streptophyta; Magnoliopsida; Fabales; Fabaceae
Description: long non-coding RNA (TPRA_LNC013162)
Source: RNAcentral
UUCCCUUCACUUUCUCACACACAAGCAUUACCCAUAAUUAUCUUCUUAAUUUGUUUCUUCACAAGCAUCCACAUAUCACAGAACAUAGACAAAGAGAGUAAAAUCAGAAAGCAGAGCAGAGCAAAAACCACAAGGCAGACGCAGAGAAAGAGAGUAAAAUCAGAAAGCAGAGCAAAAACCACAAGACAGCUCAAAAAUCAGCAGACUCAGUAAUUUGUGAGCGAGCACAUAGUAAUUCUUCUUCCUUCAGUUGAGUUUUUUUAAGUAGGUAGAAUUUUUUUACA